Molecule: non-coding RNA, 20 nt
Filed under: Rattus norvegicus (Norway rat)
Lineage: Eukaryota; Metazoa; Chordata; Mammalia; Rodentia; Muridae
Source: RNAcentral
CUUUAUGCGGGUUGCUAGGU